UGAACGCUGGCGGCGUGCUUAACACAUGCAAGUCGAACGAGAAGUGAAGACGGAAACCUUCGGGCGGAAGGCUUUAUUUCGAGUGGCGGACGGGUGAGUAACGCGUGGGUAACCUGCCUCAUACAGGGGGAUAACAGUUGGAAACGACUGUUAAUACCGCAUAAGACCACAGCACCGCAUGGUGCGGGGGUAAAAACUCCGGUGGUAUGAGAUGGACCCGCGUUCGAUUAGCCAGUUGGCGGGGUAACGGCCCACCAAAGCGACGAUCGAUAGCCGAUCUGAGAGGAUGACCGGCCACAUUGGGACUGGGACACGGCCCAAACUCCUACGGGAGGCAGCAGUGGGGAAUAUUGCACAAUGGGGGAAACCCUGAUGCAGCGACGCCGCGUGAGUGAAGAAGUAUUUCGGUAUGUAAAGCUCUAUCAGCAGGGAAGAAAAUGACGGUACCUGAGUAAGAAGCCCCGGCUAACUACGUG
RNAcentral lists this ribosomal RNA (476 nucleotides) under uncultured bacterium. Its description in RNAcentral is "partial 16S ribosomal RNA". It matches the Rfam family "Bacterial small subunit ribosomal RNA", at positions 30 to 507 of the family's 1533-position model. The record is from RNAcentral.